UACGUAGGGGGCUAGCGUUGUCCGGAUUUAUUGGGCGUAAAGAGCGUGUAGGCGGCCAGGUAGGUCUGAUGUGAAAACUCGAGGCUCAACCUCGAGACGUCGGCGGAAACCAUCUGGCUAGAGUCCGGAAGAGGAGAGUGGAAUUCCUGGUGUAGCGGUGAAAUGCGCAGAUAUCAGGAGGAACACCAAUGGCGAAGGCAGCUCGCUGGAACGGUACUGACGCUGAGGCGCGAAAGCGUGGGGAGCGAACAGG
Molecule: ribosomal RNA, 253 nt
Filed under: uncultured bacterium
Lineage: Bacteria
Description: partial 16S ribosomal RNA
Rfam family: Bacterial small subunit ribosomal RNA
Source: RNAcentral